UGCCCAUAGGAAUAAACCCUAAACCCUACCCUUAGGGUUAAACCCUAAACCCUACCCUAGGGUUAAACCCUAAACCCUACCCCUAGGGUUAAACCCUAAAACCCUACCCCUAGGGUUAAACCCUAAACCCUACCCUUAGGGUUAAACCCUAAACCCUGCCCAUAGGGUUAAAUCCUAAACCCAACCUAGGAAUAAACCCUACCUUGGAAUAAACCCUAAACCCUACCCCUAGGAAUAAACCCUAAACCCUACCAUAGGGUUAAACCCUAAACCCUACCAUAGGGUUAAACCCUAAACCCUGC
Molecule: long non-coding RNA, 302 nt
Filed under: Brassica napus (rape)
Lineage: Eukaryota; Viridiplantae; Streptophyta; Magnoliopsida; Brassicales; Brassicaceae
Description: long non-coding RNA (BNAP_LNC008470)
Source: RNAcentral